ACGGGAGGCAGCAGUGGGGAAUAUUGCACAAUGGGGGAAACCCUGAUGCAGCCAUGCCGCGUGUGUGAAGAAGGCCUUCGGGUUGCAAAGCACUUUCAGCGAGGAGGAAAGGGUGUUGCCUAAUACGUAACAUCUGUGACGUUACUCGCAGAAGAAGCACCGGCUAACUUCGUGCCAGCAGCCGCGGUAAUACGAGGGGUGCAAGCGUUAAUCGGAAUUACUGGGCGUAAAGCGUGCGUAGGUGGUUACUUAAGCAAGAUGUGAAAGCCCCGGGCUCAACCUGGGAACUGCAUUUUGAACUGGGUGACUAGAGUUUUGUAGAGGGUAGUGGAAUUUCCAGUGUAGCGGUGAAAUGCGUAGAGAUUGGAAGGAACAUCAGUGGCGAAGGCGGCUACCUGGACAGAAACUGACACUGAGGCACGAAAGCGUGGGGAGCAAACAGGAUUAGAUACCCUGGUAGUCCACGCCGUAAACGAUGUCAACUAGCCGUCUGUAGACUUGAUCUGUGGGUGGCGUAGCUAACGCGCUAAGUUGACCGCCUGGGGAGUACGGCCGCAAGGUUAAAACUCAAAUGAAUUGACGGGGGCCCGCACAAGCGGUGGAGCAUGUGGUUUAAUUCGAUGCAACGCGAAGAACCUUACCAUCCCUUGACAUCCAGAGAAAUUUCUAGAGAUAGAUUUGUGCCUUCGGGAACUCUGUGACAGGUGCUGCAUGGCUGUCGUCAGCUCGUGUUGUGAAAUGUUGGGUUAAGUCCCGCAACGAGCGCAACCCCUAUCCUUAUUUGCCAGCGCAUAAUGGCGGGAACUCUAAGGAGACUGCCGGUGAUAAACCGGAGGAAGGUGGGGACGACGUCAAGUCCUCAUGGCCCUUACGAGCAGGGCUACACACGUGCUA
Molecule: ribosomal RNA, 894 nt
Filed under: uncultured bacterium
Lineage: Bacteria
Description: bacterial SSU rRNA
Rfam family: Bacterial small subunit ribosomal RNA
Source: RNAcentral